This 262-nucleotide ribosomal RNA is filed under the name uncultured bacterium. RNAcentral's name for it is "partial 16S ribosomal RNA". It matches the Rfam family "Bacterial small subunit ribosomal RNA", at positions 793 to 1050 of the family's 1533-position model. The record is from RNAcentral.
GUCCACGCCCUAAACGAUGCACACUAGUUGUUGUGAGGCUAGACCUUGCAGUAAUGCAGUUAACACAUUAAGUGUGCCGCCUGGGGAGUACGGUCGCAAGAUUAAAACUCAAAGGAAUAGACGGGGACCCGCACAAGCGGUGGAGCAUGUGGUUUAAUUCGACGAUACACGAAGAACCUUACCUGGACUUGACAUAGUAAGAACUUUCUAGAGAUAGAUUGGUGUCUGCUUGCAGAAACUUAUAUACAGGUGCUGCACGGCU